ACGGGUGAGUAAUGUCUGGGGAUCUGCCCGAUAGAGGGGGAUAACCACUGGGAACGGUGGCUAAUACCGCAUAACGUCGCAAGACCAAAGAGGGGGACCUUCGGGCCUCUCACUAUCGGAUGAACCCAGAUGGGAUUAGCUAGUAGGCGGGGUAAUGGCCCACCUAGGCGACGAUCCCUAGCUGGUCUGAGAGGAUGACCAGCCACACUGGAACUGAGACACGGUCCAGACUCCUACGGGAGGCAGCAGUGGGGAAUAUUGCACAAUGGGCGCAAGCCUGAUGCAGCCAUGCCGCGUGUAUGAAGAAGGCCUUCGGGUUGUAAAGUACUUUCAGCGGGGAGGAAGGCAGUGAGGUUAAUAACCUUACUGAUUGACGUUACCCGCAGAAGAAGCACCGGCUAACUCCGUGCCAGCAGCCGCGGUAAUACGGAGGGUGCAAGCGUUAAUCGGAAUUACUGGGCGUAAAGCGCACGCAGGCGGUCUGUUAAGUCAGAUGUGAAAUCCCCGGGCUUAACCUGGGAACUGCAUUUGAAACUGGCAGGCUUGAGUCUCGUAGAGGGGGGUAGAAUUCCAGGUGUAGC
This 581-nucleotide ribosomal RNA is filed under the name uncultured bacterium. Its description in RNAcentral is "bacterial SSU rRNA". It matches the Rfam family "Bacterial small subunit ribosomal RNA", at positions 102 to 679 of the family's 1533-position model. The record is from RNAcentral.